Long non-coding RNA from Xenopus laevis (African clawed frog), 2482 nucleotides. RefSeq lists it as uncharacterized. The transcript is spliced from 2 exons. Lineage: Eukaryota; Metazoa; Chordata; Amphibia; Anura; Pipidae. The record is from RefSeq and is a predicted model, not a curated record.
CUGCCACCACUCUUAAAAGGGAACUAUCACAAAAAUGUAAAUGUAUUAUAUGUUUCAUUAUACUGAAAUAAGAAACCUUCUAAAUACAAUCAAUUAAAUAUUCUGCAUAGUUUCUGAAAUAAUAUGAAUCUUAUAUUAAAUUUUCAUUUGCCAAUAGUUUCCCUUUAAAUCCCCCCCCCCCUAGGAGAGCCAGCCGUACAGUUUGGGAACAAUUGGUUUAAGGUUUUGGGUGGCAACAUAUACAGGGUUCUAUUAUCUGAAAAGCUUGGGACCUGUGGUUUUGCAGAUAAGGUAUGGUGAUCCAAGUAACAGAAAGACCUACUACUAAAAAAAAAUUGAAAUUAAAACAAAAGGAUUUUUUUUGCCAUCAAUAUGGGUGUAUGUUUCUUAGUUACAAUCAAGUUCAUGUUACUGUUUUAUUUUUUUUCAGAGAAAAAGGCAAUCAUACAAAAUAUAUUUUUUUGCAUACAAUGGGUACAAUGAGAGAUGGGCUUGCCGUAUUUUUGAGUUUUAUGGAGAAUGGGUUUGCAGAUAAUGAUCCCUUUUCAUGAAAGGGUAAUUUAUUUCAUACAUUUUUUUGGGGGGAUUAAUGUGCUUUCUGCAGUUUGGAAUGUAAAGGGCACCUGUUGGGUAAAAAUAGUACAGUAGUUUUUUAAAAAAAAUAAAUGCCCCCUGCCAGCGCUAGGCUAUCCGCACCGGGAGGGAGCACCCUGCUCAGGCAGCCAUGUCCGGACACUCGCAUGCGCAUAACGAAAAGCUGCCAUCAAUUGCUCAUUAUGCACGUGAUGUCGCAUGCGCAUUAUGUGCAUGCAAGUGGCACAACAUGGCUGCUCGCACUGUGUGCUCCUUCUCGGUGUGGGCAGCCUAGUGCUGGUCAGUGAUUCCUUAAUCAAAUGUCAGACUACAUUUCUCUUCUUAUUGUUAUAAUUAAAAUGUUUAUUGUAACAAAACAUUGAUUUUAUUUUGUUUUACAAACACAAAAUAAAAUUACUAUAAUUGUCUAUUCCUUUGGGGAGUCUGAAAACACAAAGCUUUAUUUAUUAAAUUAUACAGUGUAGAAAAUGAUUCCUGUGUGUGAAGUCCCUGCAUCUAUUCUCAGCAGACUUUUUUUCUCUAAAUGUUAUAUUCACUCCUGACUUGAACUCUUCCAAGCUUAAAAUAGCCAGAAGGCAUUUCCAUGGAAACCUCGGAAAGGAACAAAUAGGUCAGUAGAAAGGAUCACUUGAUAUUACAUGAUUUCCACUAACAUUCAAGAAAAAAAGAAAUAAAAAUGCUUGACUAGUAAAAUAUAAAUCAAACAUUUACAUCAGUAAAGUAUUUGAAUAUUUUAACGGUACUGAUUAAUCCACAUUGUUGUACCUUUUCUUACUAGUGCGUAUGCAAGGCCUCUUUUGUUGUAUUUCCCACUGGUGUAUGUUGCUAGUGAAUUCAUCCUGGAACAAUAACUCUGCAUAUGAACAGUGCAUAAAUUAAGGUCUGCUUAGCACUUUACAGAUCAAUAACAGUGCCUCACUGUGGGGGUUGGGGUGUAACGUAAAAGAGUGCUGCAGUGGAAGAGAAAACAGAAAAAGAUAGGCUGAGACAAAAAUAUAAAUCGAUCACUUAAAAAGAAUCAACUAACAGAAAGAGAGAGGGAGUAAAAUCACAGUUGCAGGACAAGCAAAAUUAUAUGGAGGUUCUAAUGUAACGUGGAGCGCCAUGCCUUGAGGUUUCAAAAAACCAUUCAACAAACAAAAGGCUAAUAGAAUUCAGGGUUUUUUGACUGCUACAGCCAUUGGGUGCAAAACAAAGGCAGAGAAAGACUCCCACCUUGAUGGAUUUGUGCCCAUUCCUUCUGCACUUUCUGACAAUGAAACAGAAAACAUGAUCCAGGCAGUGGUGGAUAAUGCUUGCUGACAGAUGUCCCUGGACCGAGAGACCACUGCUCUUAAACAGCUGCAGGGUCACGUGUGGAGGUCAACCUAUAUUACUGGACAGCUUAAGGGCGAGUAAGUAUGAUAUAUGUGGUUUAAUGCUUCUGUGCAAAUCUUAUUCCAAAUGCAUUCACUUUUUAAGGGCAGUAUUCAAGGGGAAUGGUUGUAAACUAUAGAUAAAGAUCUAAGCUAUAAAAGUUGUCUGCCAAACUGUCCUUCACUAUAGUGUAGAAUUGUAUUGCAUGUGUUGGUCUACAAUGGGCAGAUUUUCAGACACAUCUUUGGACAUAAAACAUAAACAUAAAACCAUUCUGUCACCAAGAUUCACUUGUUUCUCUGCAAAAAAUAGUAUAUUUGCUUAAUUUAAAAGGGAUACCCAAGUAUACAAUUUUCUUUUCUUUGGGUCAUUAAAGAAAAUGUACUUUCAAGCCACUUUCCAGUAUAUAUUAAAUAAAAAAGUAAAGUAAAAUGAUUUUAAAAUUAUUUGUAAAUGAUUCACAUUGUUCAAUCCUUGGUGUUUCUAGAAUUCAAGAGGUCACCACUAAAAUAAAGCUCAUGUUUUUAAAGUG